GACGAACGCUGGCGGCGUGCUUAACACAUGCAAGUCGAACGGUGAAGCGCCUUCCUUUUUGGUGGGUGUGGAUGAGUGGCGAACGGGUGAGUAACACGUGAGUAACCUGCCCCCUUCUUCUGGAUAACCGCAUGAAAGUGUGGCUAAUACGGGAUAUUCUGGGUCUGUCGCAUGAUGGGUCUGGGAAAGAUAUUGUUUCGGUGGGGGAUGGGCUCGCGGCCUAUCAGCUUGUUGGUGGGGUGAUGGCCUACCAAGGCGGUGACGGGUAGCCGGCCUGAGAGGGUGGACGGUCACACUGGGGCUGAGACACGGCCCAGACUCCUACGGGAGGCAGCAGUGGGGAAUAUUGCACAGUGGGCGCAAGGCUGAUGCAGCGACGCCGCGUGAGGGAUGGAGGCCUUCGGGUUGUGAACCUCUUUCGCCAGUGAAGCAGGCCUGCCGCGUUUGUGGGUGGGUUGACGGUAGCUGGAUAAGAAGCGCCGGCUAACUACGUG
RNAcentral lists this ribosomal RNA (494 nucleotides) under uncultured bacterium. RNAcentral's name for it is "partial 16S ribosomal RNA". It matches the Rfam family "Bacterial small subunit ribosomal RNA", at positions 28 to 507 of the family's 1533-position model. The record is from RNAcentral.